GAGCUGCGGUUUUAGCUUUCAUUGACACAAGUUUUAGCCAAUAGGACCCUCACCUAUUCAUGGACAGGAAGGGAGAAAACUGCAAGAAAUAAUUUGGUUGAGGGGCAGAGAUUCUUAAAUGAAAUGCUCCGCCAGCCAUGAGAUUGCUCAAAUGGACAAGACCAACCGAGAAGUCUCCCUUUCUGGGACUAUUUAACAGCUUUUGGAAGGAAAAAGAUGGCAAGGCAAGACAAGGUGGACAUCAGCUGGUCAUGGCUGGGUUUGGCACAGCUGAGACCUCCCCUUGAACCCUAAGCUUAAUGUCCCCACGACACCACAAGGGGGCGCACUUGGACAUUCAAAGUGAUUGCUGCCAGCUGGGCCUGCAGACAGAAUCCUCCAGAUGUGCUGCACUCUGAUUGGCUUGUUGAAGUUGUUUCCUCACUCACUGACGCUCAUAUUUCCAUACUUAUGCGGAAGAAAGCGCUAAGGAUUAUGGGUGGAGGUGAUCCUCUCAUGUCAGAGGUGGCAGUCCAUCUGUCUGCCAGCUUGUAAGGAAAGUGGCACACAAUAACUUGGUAUAUUUGAUCAACUGCUUUAUGCGUGGAUGAAAAUGCAUAAAUCUUUAGUCAUUGACAGUGAAACACCAUAUCUGAUGUUAUCAUGACAUAUUAGGAUACAGAAAAGUUCAGUACUACAAGUUCACUUGUGUAGGAAACAAAAUAUGCUGUAGCCUAAUGAAAUAAUCGUCAAAACACUUGAUAUUGCUCUAUAAGAACCAUUCCCUUUAAUAAGAGUUUAAGGGUAGCCCAAACAUACCAGGAAAUUGCCCCUACAUGCACGGAAGCAUUCAUUGUAUUUCUAAAUGCGUUCAUUAUGGUUCUUCACAUGUUUUCUUCAACUUUGUGUACUGUAUUGGAACAUUCAGUAUCUUUGCUUCUUUUAAAGCAUUUUAAGUUGGAUUAUCUAAUUCUGAACAAUGAUGUCUGUGCGUAUGUUUCUGUACAAUAAAUGAAAGCGCCUGA
This is a long non-coding RNA of Notothenia coriiceps (black rockcod), 1004 nucleotides long. RefSeq lists it as uncharacterized. The transcript is spliced from 3 exons. Lineage: Eukaryota; Metazoa; Chordata; Actinopteri; Perciformes; Nototheniidae. The record is from RefSeq and is a predicted model, not a curated record.